UACGGGAGGCAGCAGUAGGGAAUUUUGCGCAAUGGGGGAAACCCUGACGCAGCAACGCCGCGUGAUUGAAUAAGCCCUUCGGGGUGUAAAGAUCUGUCAGUGGGGACGAAACUUGACGGUACCCACAGAGGAAGCAUCGGCUAACUCCGUGCCAGCAGCCGCGGUAAU
This 168-nucleotide ribosomal RNA is filed under the name uncultured rumen bacterium. Its description in RNAcentral is "partial 16S ribosomal RNA". It matches the Rfam family "Bacterial small subunit ribosomal RNA", at positions 340 to 524 of the family's 1533-position model. The record is from RNAcentral.